CCUACGGGUGGCAGCAGUGAGGGAUAUUGGUCAAUGGGGGAAACCCUGAACCAGCAAAGCCGCGUGAGGGAAGACGGCCUUCGGAGUGUAAACCUCUGUCCUCUGGGAAGAAAAUGACGGUAGCUGAGGCGGAAGCUCCGGCUAAAUACGGGCCAGCAGCCGCAGUAAUACGUAGGGAGCAAGCGUUGUCCGGAUUUACUGGGUGUAAAGGGUGCGUAGGCGGCUCUGCAAGUCAGAAGUGAAAUCCAUGGGGUUAACCCGCGAACUGCUGUUGAAACUGUAGGGCUUGAGUGAAGUAGAGGUAGGCGGAAUGCGCGGUGUAGCGGUGAAAUGCGUAGAGAUCGCGAGGAACACCAGUUGCGAAGGCAGCCUACUGGG
RNAcentral lists this ribosomal RNA (378 nucleotides) under uncultured bacterium. RNAcentral's name for it is "partial 16S ribosomal RNA". It matches the Rfam family "Bacterial small subunit ribosomal RNA", at positions 338 to 733 of the family's 1533-position model. The record is from RNAcentral.